GUUAAAAAGCUCGUUGUUGGAUUUCUGGUGGGCGGACAGAGCGGCAUGAUGUGUCGCUUGCGUUCCCUGCCAUCCUUCUGUUAAACCGGUACGGCGUUCGUUCGCUGACCGGCGGCUCAGAUAUUUUACCUUGAGAAAAUUAGAGUGUUUCAGGCAGGCUCGGCCGGGAUACAUUAGCAUGGAAUAAUGGAAUAGGACUCCAGCCUCUUCUGUUGGUCUGAGGGGUUGAAGUAAUGAUUAAUAGGGAUAGUUGGGGGCAUUAGUACUUAACUGUCAGAGGUGAAAUUCUUGGAUUUGUUAAAGACUAACUUAUGCGAAAGCAUUUGCCCAAGGAUGUUUUCAUUAAUCAAGAACCGAAAGUUAGGGGACCGAAAGACGAUCCGAUACCGUCCUAGUCUUAACCCAUAAACCUAUGCCGACUCGGGAUUGGAGGGCGGAAAUGU
RNAcentral lists this ribosomal RNA (443 nucleotides) under uncultured eukaryote. RNAcentral's name for it is "bacterial SSU rRNA". It matches the Rfam family "Eukaryotic small subunit ribosomal RNA", at positions 618 to 1069 of the family's 1831-position model. The record is from RNAcentral.